Long non-coding RNA from Colius striatus (speckled mousebird), 177 nucleotides. RefSeq lists it as uncharacterized. The transcript has 3 exons. Lineage: Eukaryota; Metazoa; Chordata; Aves; Coliiformes; Coliidae. The record is from RefSeq and is a predicted model, not a curated record.
UGCUGUAUCUGGUUCUGUUCUUGAAAAGACACGACAAAGCUCCAACACAGAUGACAGUGAAACUACCACAUCUAUUGUCAAAACAAUCCCAGGAUUGCCUUUCAAGGAAAAUCCAGCAGUUCACACAGACAGGCUUCAGCAGUGCUUAAAUUCUGAUCCUUUGAACACACAUGGAAC